AGAACGAACGCUGGCGGCAGGCUUAACACAUGCAAGUCGAGCGCCCAGCAAUGGGAGCGGCGGACGGGUGAGUAACACGUGGGAACAUGCCUUUCGGUACGGAACAACUUCGGGAAACUGAAGCUAAUGCCGUAUGCGCCCUUACGGGGAAAGAUUUAUCGCCGAAAGAUUGGCCCGCGUCUGAUUAGCUAGUUGGUGAGGUAACGGCUCACCAAGGCUUCGAUCAGUAGCUGGUUUGAGAGAACGACCAGCCACACUGGGACUGAGACACGGCCCAGACUCCUACGGGAGGCAGCAGUGGGGAAUCUUGGACAAUGGAGGAAACUCUGAUCCAGCCAUGCCGCGUGAGUGAUGAAGGCCUUCGGGUUGUAAAACUCUUUUACCAGGAGAUAAUGACUGUACCUGGAGAAUAAGCCCGGCUAACUUCGUGCCAGCAGCCGC
This 441-nucleotide ribosomal RNA is filed under the name uncultured bacterium. Its description in RNAcentral is "SSU rRNA". It matches the Rfam family "Bacterial small subunit ribosomal RNA", at positions 26 to 518 of the family's 1533-position model. The record is from RNAcentral.